Molecule: non-coding RNA, 29 nt
Filed under: Mus musculus (house mouse)
Lineage: Eukaryota; Metazoa; Chordata; Mammalia; Rodentia; Muridae
Source: RNAcentral
GUUAUUUCUUGGUUUCUUUAAUGGGUUUC